RNAcentral lists this unclassified non-coding RNA (268 nucleotides) under Hevea brasiliensis (rubber tree). The record is from RNAcentral. Lineage: Eukaryota; Viridiplantae; Streptophyta; Magnoliopsida; Malpighiales; Euphorbiaceae.
AACAAGCCUGAGGAACCUUACCCUCCUCACUGUAUUUCAGGCACCGAUGAAUCAAACUUAGUUCCUGCUCUACAGUGGUUAGAAAAAGAACCAAAUGUCACAAUCAGGCGCAAAGAUUGCUUUGAUGGAUUUCUGGGUUCAAUUCAGGAUGAUGGGUCCAAUGUUUUUGUAGACUGGGUGAAGCACAAUCAGAUCAAAACUAUGGUGGUUGUUGGGAUAUGCACAGACAUCUGUGUGCUAGAUUUUGUUAGCUCAACAUUAUCGGCUA